Molecule: ribosomal RNA, 425 nt
Filed under: uncultured bacterium
Lineage: Bacteria
Description: bacterial SSU rRNA
Rfam family: Bacterial small subunit ribosomal RNA
Source: RNAcentral
AUUUGGCGGACGGGUGAGUAACGUGUGGGAACGUACCUUUUGCUACGGAAUAACUCAGGGAAACUUGUGCUAAUACCGUAUGUGCCCUUCGGGGGAAGGAUUUAUCGGCAAAGGAUCGGCCCGCGUUGGAUUAGCUAGUUGGUGAGGUAAAGGCUCACCAAGGCGACGAUCCAUAGCUGGUCUGAGAGGAUGAUCAGCCACACUGGGACUGAGACACGGCCCAGACUCCUACGGGAGGCAGCAGUUAAGAAUCUUGCACAGUGGGCGCAAGCCUGAUGCAGCGACGCCGCGUGAGUGAAGAAGGCCUUAUGGUUGUAAAGCACUUUAAGCGAGGAGGAGGCUCUCUUGGUUAAUACCCAAGAUGAGUGGACGUUACUCGCAGAAUAAGCACCGGCUAACUCUGUGCCAGCAGCCGCGGUAAUAAU